GGUGGGAUCCCGUACCCCCCCUAGGGACRGGCGCACCACCGGCCCGCCUUGGCCUGCUCCGGCAGGCGGGUGGAGCUUGAGCGCGUGCGAUAGUACCCGAAAGAUGGUGAACUAUGCCUGGGCAGGGC
This 128-nucleotide ribosomal RNA is filed under the name Aphredoderus sayanus (pirate perch). Its description in RNAcentral is "partial 28S ribosomal RNA". Lineage: Eukaryota; Metazoa; Chordata; Actinopteri; Percopsiformes; Aphredoderidae. The record is from RNAcentral.